GGGGAUUUAGCUCAGUGGUAGAGCGCUUGCCUAGAAAGCGCGAGGCCCUGGGUUCGGUCCCCAGCUCCG
Molecule: non-coding RNA, 69 nt
Organism: Rattus norvegicus (Norway rat)
Lineage: Eukaryota; Metazoa; Chordata; Mammalia; Rodentia; Muridae
Source: Rfam